CUGUGUAUAAUAAACGCUUGUUUGACGCUACCUAAAAUAAAGUUGACGUUCUGUACAAAUAUACUUAACUUUUAUUUUUUUCAACAGAUAACCUUCAACUUAAAUGAUGUCCCGGUUACUGUGCAGGAAAAGUCCUGCGGGGAAGGCCCUUAGUACUUUACCAAUCAGCACACUACAGGACCAUGGGCUUUAAAAGUGUGCCUGUUCCUUUAUCCUGUACCAGUACAUGGCCAAGCACGCAGGGAACUGCACAAGAGGCUACUGCAGAAAUGGUGGUAAAAAAAAUCCACAAAUACGACAAAAAGAACAGCUGGAGGAGGUGUGCAUGGAUCGGGAAGUCUGGGCAUCUCUGCUGAGACUGCUGCCUCCGCGACCCGGCCCCGGAUAAAGCGGAAGAAAAUGGAUGGAUGGACGACAAAAAUAAAACUUUCUACAGAAAAUCAACAUCAUUUAGUGGAGCUUCAAACAUACAUAUAUGCAGAGAGUCAUUCACAAUAAAGGCCUGCAACUAACAAUUUCUGUCUGUCUGCUACACAUCAACUCCAGGAAUGAUUGAGACUUGGAUCUAUCCAUGUUACGAUUGCUGAAAUAGAACCUGAAGAUGUGCUUUAAUUUUUUUUCAUGGGUCUAUGGCAUCUUCCCGACAGUUGCCUCACUCUGAGUCUGCACUAUAUUUGAAACUGAUGGGAAAAAUGUUAGACAAUACACUACUCAUGAUCAACUGGAAUGAACAGUGUAAUGCUAAUCCCACUUGCUCUUGUGUAACAGAGAUGUAUUAUUGAAUUUCCUUAAAGAUUAUUUGUUUUUGUUGUUGUACCUUUGGAGCCACCUGGUGGUGGUUUUGGUAACUGUAUGCUA
This 858-nucleotide long non-coding RNA is filed under the name Neogobius melanostomus (round goby). Its description in RNAcentral is "lncRNA (ENSNMLG00000024948.1)". Lineage: Eukaryota; Metazoa; Chordata; Actinopteri; Gobiiformes; Gobiidae. The record is from RNAcentral.